CCUGACGACCAUAGCGAGGUGGUCCCACCCCUUCCCAUCCCGAACAGGACCGUGAAACACCUCAGCGCCGAUGAUAGUGCGGAUUGCCCGUGUGAAAGUAGGACAUCGUCAGGC
This 114-nucleotide ribosomal RNA is filed under the name Inhella gelatinilytica. The record is from RNAcentral. Lineage: Bacteria; Pseudomonadati; Pseudomonadota; Betaproteobacteria; Burkholderiales; Sphaerotilaceae.